GUUACUGCGAAGGGGGGACGGAGAAGGCUAGGCUAGCCGGGCGACGGUUGUCCCGGUUUAAGCGUGUAGGGGGUGUGACCUGGUAAAUCCGGUUACAUAUCAACCCUGAGGCGUGAUGACGAUGCACUACGGUGCAGAAGUAGUUGAUGCCCUGCUUCCAGGAAAAGCCUCUAAGCUCUAGGUAACAUUGAAUCGUACCCCAAACCGACACAGGUGGUCAGGUAGAGAAUACCAAGGCGCUUGAGAGAACUCGGGUGAAGGAACUAGGCAAAAUGGUGCCGUAACUUCGGGAGAAGGCACGCUGGCAUGUAGGUGAAGUCCUUCGCGGAUGGAGCUGAAGCCAGUCGAAGAUACCAGCUGGCUGCAACUGUUUAAUAAAAACACAGCACUGUGCAAACACGAAAGUGGACGUAUACGGUGUGACGCCUGCCCGGUGCUGGAAGGUUAAUUGAUGGGGUCAGCCGCAAGGCGAAGCUCUUGAUCGAAGCCCCAGUAAACGGCGGCCGUAACUAUAACGGUCCUAAGGUAGCGAAAUUCCUUGUCGGGUAAGUUCCGACCUGCACGAAUGGCGUAAUGAUGGCCAGGCUGUCUCCACCCGAGACUCAGUGAAAUUGAACUCGCUGUGAAGAUGCAGUGUACCCGCGGCAAGACGGAAAGACCCCGUGAACCUUUACUAUAGCUUGACACUGAACAUUGAGCCUUGAUGUGUAGGAUAGGUGGGAGGCUUUGAAGCGUGGACGCCAGUCUGCGUGGAGCCAUCCUUGAAAUACCACCCUUUAAUGUUUGAUGUUCUAACUCGGCCCCAUAAUCUGGGGUGAGGACAGUGUCUGGUGGGUAGUUUGACUGGGGCGGUCUCCUCCCAAAGAGUAACGGAGGAGCACGAAGGUUAGCUAAUCACGGUCGGACAUCGUGAGGUUAGUGCAAAGGCAUAAGCUAGCUUGACUGCGAGAGUGACGGCUCGAGCAGGUACGAAAGUAGGUCUUAGUGAUCCGGUGGUUCUGAAUGGAAGGGCCAUCGCUCAACGGAUAAAAGGUACUCCGGGGAUAACAGGCUGAUACCGCCCAAGAGUUCAUAUCGACGGCGGUGUUUGGCACCUCGAUGUCGGCUCAUCACAUCCUGGGGCUGAAGUAGGUCCCAAGGGUAUGGCUGUUCGCCAUUUAAAGUGGUACGCGAGCUGGGUUUAGAACGUCGUGAGACAGUUCGGUCCCUAUCUGCCGUGGGCGUUGGAAGAUUGAGAGGGGUUGCUCCUAGUACGAGAGGACCGGAGUGAACGCACCACUGGUGUUCGGGUUGUCAUGCCAAUGGCAUUGCCCGGUAGCUAAGUGCGGAAAAGAUAAGCGCUGAAAGCAUCUAAGCGCGAAACUUGCCUCAAGAUGA
RNAcentral lists this ribosomal RNA (1377 nucleotides) under Serratia marcescens. Its description in RNAcentral is "partial 23S ribosomal RNA". It matches the Rfam family "Bacterial large subunit ribosomal RNA", at positions 1450 to 2807 of the family's 2925-position model. The record is from RNAcentral. Lineage: Bacteria; Pseudomonadati; Pseudomonadota; Gammaproteobacteria; Enterobacterales; Yersiniaceae.